RNAcentral lists this transfer RNA (73 nucleotides) under Phycisphaerae bacterium. Its description in RNAcentral is "tRNA-His". It matches the Rfam family "tRNA". Rfam says of the family: Transfer RNA (tRNA) molecules are approximately 80 nucleotides in length. Lineage: Bacteria; Pseudomonadati; Planctomycetota; Phycisphaerae. The record is from RNAcentral.
GUGGCCAUAGCUCAGUUGGUAGAGCACCGGGUUGUGGUCCCGGUUGUCGCGGGUUCGAGCCCCGUUGGCCACC